AAAUUUACCUUCCUUUCUUCUUCCUUCACUUCCCUCUCCCUUUUCCUUGCCCCUCUUGUUUCUUCUCUCUUUCCCUUACUUUACCUUCUGAGCCUUCAUACUUUUGCUGUGUCUAUUUCUGUCUCUCUUUCUCCCUUUCUCUUUCUAUCCACAGAAGUCUUAUGUUUGUCUAAUAAUUGGCAGAAGAGAUCUUUUUUUUUUUUUUGCUUUUUAAGUGAUGAAUAGUUGGCGUAACAUCAAAGACAAGCCCUGUGGUUUUCUGGCUGCCCCAGAAGGGCGGUGCAGCUGGCAGGCAUCCCAGCUGCCUGGUGAUAGGCAUGUGGAAGAGAUACCAAGCUCACAGGUCACUGUGUAUGUGUUCAUGUACAUGUGUUUUUCAGGCCAACAGCAAGCUGAAGCAGAUUGAGAAGGAAUACACUCAGAAGCUUGCCAAAUCUUCACAGAUCAUAGCAGAACUUCAGACAACCAUUUCCUCUCUGAAAGAAGAGAACAGCCAGCAGCAGCUUGCUGCAGAAAGGCGGCUCCAGGAUGUUAGACAAAAGUUUG
Molecule: long non-coding RNA, 546 nt
Filed under: Homo sapiens (human)
Lineage: Eukaryota; Metazoa; Chordata; Mammalia; Primates; Hominidae
Description: non-protein coding lnc-AXIN2-1:1
Source: RNAcentral